AGAUUUCAUAGAUGAAUGACUAAAUGAGUGAAAGUGGAUAAAGGGAAAUAUAAAUUGAGCAAGCAGCAGAGUUGGGGACCAGGGUUUAUGUCUUGGUCAACAGGACGAGGAGUUGCAGAGAGAAGACUGGUCAGAACUGACAGUAAGGAACCAGAAGACUGGAUGUUAGGACCCUCACUCAUUCUUUCAUUUAUUCAGUCAUUCAACAAACAUUUUCUGUGCACUAGCUAUGCUCCCGGCAUGUUGCUGUGCUCUGGGGGAUCAUGGUGAGCAAAAGAGACAUAAUAAUUGCCCUCAAAGUGCUUACAGCCUAGAAGACUCUAUUUUACAAAUGAGGAAACUGAGUCCUAGAGAGGGAAGGGUAAUACAGCCAGCUGUUGACAAGGUCAGGAAAGGACACAAUAUCCUGACCUCUGCUUUUAAGUAUUAGAAACUACACCAAAGACCACAACUAGUGCAUCAGGAGCCAUAUCUGGUCCUCAAAAACAUUGUAUUUGGCUCACAUAGUGUUUGGAAAAUUGGGAAAUUCAGACAAACAUCAAGUUUUCAAGUUUCUCUUGAAAAUCAGAAGAUCUGGCAACGCUGGGCCCAUGCUUCCUCGUGGCAAAAAACUGACAGGAGCUGAAUAGCAAGCAGGUGUUUACUUUCAACACAGUCACCCCAUCUCCAUUCCCUUUGUGGCACCACCUGUCUCCCGUAGUCAUGUGACUUUGCAACCCCUAACAAAGGAUGGCAAACAUCACAUUCUUAUCCUGCAAGUGGAAGCUGCCAGCUACUCAACUUUUCUUUCUCAUCCGAUCUCCCCUCCAUCUUGCCUCUCAAGCCUGACUUCUACUCGAGCAUAGGAGCAAAACGGCGGGUGAGCUGACCCGGGAUUCUCUCCCCUCCAAAAUACAACAAAAGAUCGGAAGAACUGAAUUUCAGAGAAUAAACAUAAUGCCAGCUUGUUAGAGACCUACAAUACCAAGAAGGCGCUCAUACCUGAAAAAAGAAAAAAGGGAGAAAGGGGACACAAUCCACAGACUAGGGAGACCGAUGGAUAGGACCAGAACAGGAUAGCAAAUAUUCAAUUAUAGCAUUAGGGUAAAGGUAAGGAAACUACCAAAGCAAGGACGAUCUUAGCACUCUAACUACAAAUUAGUAAGACGAGUUGGAAUAAAAAAUGAAAAUAAUUAUUUAGGAGGGGAAGAGCAAAGGGUCUAAAUCAGUAUUGGUCAAGUAAGUAAGAGACCACCAGAGAAUAGACUAUAUUAUACACGAGAUUCUAAAUACAAACUUCAAGGUAGACACUAAAAUAAAGGACAGGACAGAGUCACAAAUCAUAAAUAAGGAAAAAUCUAAGAAACCCAGCAUAAGAAAUUGCAGUAUUAAAUGGGUAGUCUAAAGCAAACAGGAAAAGAAACACAGGAAAACAAGAUAAUGAGCGACAGAUUACAGCAUUAAGUUCACAUGCAUCAAUAAUCACUCUCAAUGUAAACGAGAUUGAACUCUCCAAUAAAA
This 1500-nucleotide long non-coding RNA is filed under the name Equus caballus (horse). Its description in RNAcentral is "lncRNA (ENSECAG00000046482.1)". Lineage: Eukaryota; Metazoa; Chordata; Mammalia; Perissodactyla; Equidae. The record is from RNAcentral.